UAUUGAAGAUGAUUUAAGUUGCUAACGAUCAAAUCUUAUGUGCUACGUAUCCCUCGUGUGCUACGUAUCCACACAAAUUUGAUUCUGAAUGUGUAUUGAAGAUGAUUUAAGUUGCUAACAAAAUAGGUCUACUUGUUUUGUUCUAAUCAUACUGUUUAGCAACUAAUCAUAUCCUAUUGGGUCCACUCAUCCAUGGUAUCAAGAAAAUUAAGUGGAAUUGUUUAUUAAAAAGCAAGCUCCAGAAGUGUGCAUGUGCUUUGAGUCGGGGAGUAGGGAGGAUUGGUGAUGCAUAUAAAAAGAAUAUUCACUGCCUUAAGCAGGGAUCAAAUCAGCUUGUGUAAAAUACAUUUGAUCCCAUUGUUCAAUGGGCACGCUGUUCUCAUAAUGAAUAAGAAAACUAAAUCAAUGCACUCCAAGUUUACAGCCCUAAUAUAAACACCUGGAAGCGUCAAAAAAAUUGCCCUCCUUAAGAAGGGAUUAUUUCCUACUUAUAGGAAAUUAUUCGCAUUUCUCACAUUUUAUUAUCACUUGCAUUUAAUAUUUCUAAUCAACGAUGACUUCACUUCUUAAUGAGGUUCCUGAUCACAUAGGGAAGAAUGCCUCCAUGGUUAAAGUACUCCAAUUCCACCUGAAAAUAUGGGCAGGUUAACAAACUGGCGCAAGGAAAGAUAUAAAUUUCUGAGACAAGUUUUUCAAAAUGCUGAAUAAAUGCUCUAUCCUGAGAAAUCCCAAUGAUGGAUCACAUUAGGAUAUAAGUUGCAUCAGCAAAACACAUACA
This 778-nucleotide long non-coding RNA is filed under the name Medicago truncatula (barrel medic). RNAcentral's name for it is "long non-coding RNA (MTRU_LNC008622)". The record is from RNAcentral. Lineage: Eukaryota; Viridiplantae; Streptophyta; Magnoliopsida; Fabales; Fabaceae.